Molecule: ribosomal RNA, 641 nt
Filed under: uncultured archaeon
Lineage: Archaea
Description: bacterial SSU rRNA
Rfam family: Archaeal small subunit ribosomal RNA
Source: RNAcentral
CAGACGGCUCAGUAACACGUAGUCAACCUAACCUUUGGACGUGGAUAAUCUCGGGAAACUGAGAAUAAACCACGAUAGAUAACGGUGCCUGGAAUGGCCCAUUGUCAAAACAGUUUACUGCCAGGGGAUGGGACUGCGGCCUAUCAGCUUGUUGGUGAGGUAAUGGCCCACCAAGGCUAUAACAGGUACGGGCUCUGAGAGGAGAAGCCCGGAGAUGGGUACUGAGACACGGACCCAGGCCCUAUGGGGCGCAGCAGGCGAGAAACCUUAGCAAUGUGCGAAAGCACGACUGGGUCAGUCCGAGUGAUUUCUGAUAAAGGAAUCUUUUGCCCGUCCUAAAAGCACGGGCGAAUAAGGGGUGGGCAAGUCUGGUGUCAGCCGCCGCGGUAAUACCAGCACCUCGAGUGGUCAGGACGAUUAUUGGGCCUAAAGCAUCCGUAGCUGGUUUUGCAAGUCUCCGGUUAAAUCCACCUGCUUAACAGAUGGGCCGCUGGAGAUACUACAAGACUAGGGAGUGGGAGAGGCAGACGGUAUUCGGGGGGUAGGGGUAAAAUCCNCUGAUCCUUUGAGGACCACCACUGGCGAAGGCGAUCUGCCAGAACACGUUCCACAGUGAGGAUAUCAAGCUGGGGGAGCCCACC